Molecule: ribosomal RNA, 879 nt
Filed under: uncultured bacterium
Lineage: Bacteria
Description: bacterial SSU rRNA
Rfam family: Bacterial small subunit ribosomal RNA
Source: RNAcentral
GGAUGAACGCUAGCUACAGGCUUAACACAUGCAAGUCGAGGGGAAACGACAUCGAAAGCUUGCUUUUGAUGGGCGUCGACCGGCGCACGGGUGAGUAACGCGUAUCCAACCUGCCCACCACUUGGGGAUAACCUUGCGAAAGUAAGACUAAUACCCAAUGAUAUCUCUAGAAGACAUCUGAAAGAGAUUAAAGAUUUAUCGGUGAUGGAUGGGGAUGCGUCUGAUUAGCUUGUUGGCGGGGUAACGGCCCACCAAGGCGACGAUCAGUAGGGGUUCUGAGAGGAAGGUCCCCCACAUUGGAACUGAGACACGGUCCAAACUCCUACGGGAGGCAGCAGUGAGGAAUAUUGGUCAAUGGGCGAGAGCCUGAACCAGCCAAGUAGCGUGCAGGAUGACGGCCCUAUGGGUUGUAAACUGCUUUUAUAAGGGAAUAAAGUGAGUCUCGUGAGACUUUUUGCAUGUACCUUAUGAAUAAGGACCGGCUAAUUCCGUGCCAGCAGCCGCGGUAAUACGGAAGGUCCGGGCGUUAUCCGGAUUUAUUGGGUUUAAAGGGAGCGUAGGCCGGAGAUUAAGCGUGUUGUGAAAUGUAGAUGCUCAACAUCUGAACUGCAGCGCGAACUGGUUUCCUUGAGUACGCACAAAGUGGGCGGAAUUCGUGGUGUAGCGGUGAAAUGCUUAGAUAUCACGAAGAACUCCGAUUGCGAAGGCAGCUCACUGGAGCGCAACUGACGCUGAAGCUCGAAAGUGCGGGUAUCGAACAGGAUUAGAUACCCUGGUAGUCCGCACGGUAAACGAUGGAUGCCCGCUGUUGGUCUGAAUAGGUCAGCGGCCAAGCGAAAGCAUUAAGCAUCCCACCUGGGGAGUACGCCGGCAACGGUG